GGAGCUUGGGACUGUGAUGAGGUCACUUGGCCAAAAUCCAACUGAAGCUGAGUUGCAGGACAUGAUCAAUGAGGUGGAUGCUGACGGAAACGGAACCAUCGACUUCCCUGAGUUUCUGAAUCUGAUGGCUAGGAAGAUGAAAGACACUGAUUCAGAGGAGGAACUGAAGGAAGCCUUCCGUGUGUUUGACAAGGACCAGAAUGGUUUCAUUUCUGCAGCUGAACUCCGCCACGUGAUGACAAAUCUUGGCGAGAAAUUGACCGAUGAAGAAGUCGAUGAGAUGAUUCGCGAGGCUGACGUGGAUGGCGAUGGUCAGAUUAACUACGAGGAAUUCGUAAAAAUCAUGAUGGCCAAGUGACAGACCGAUCAAACGUGAAAGAGAACCUAUCGAGGCUAAUAACUGAAAGAGAGGUUGGCGCAAAUAUGUUCCAUGACAACUAUAAUAUCCUACUGGAGCACUUCUAUCUCUAGGAAAACCCUUCUUUUUCGUGUUACUAGCUUUAGUUGGUUCUUUCUGUUAUCUUACUCUCUUGUUUGCAUAAUUUAUGGUACUGUAUUCCGGUAUUGUUUGCUGUUUCCUUCUCUUUUCUUCUUCAGUAGAUUAGAUAGUGGAGUCUUCUAUUAUCAAUAUUUGCUAUUUUCCUUUUGGUGUUUGGCAAUAUCAAUUCCAAGUACAUUUUCAAUGAAUCCAUUGCUUUUUGC
Molecule: unclassified non-coding RNA, 702 nt
Filed under: Hevea brasiliensis (rubber tree)
Lineage: Eukaryota; Viridiplantae; Streptophyta; Magnoliopsida; Malpighiales; Euphorbiaceae
Source: RNAcentral